GAUUGAUAAGAACUAAAAAAAGAAAACAGAAAGGAUGAAAACAGUGGUCAUCGAUAGCUAAAUGGACAUUUAAGAAUCGUGCUGUGACCGGCCUGUGAAUUGUGGCUCCGACCAAUCCCUGAACGUAAUGUAAUUGUGGAGGAUUAUGGAGGACUUCUAUGGACAGUUUUUGAAUUCAGACUGAAGAGAAGAACAAAAAUGAAAGAGAUCCUCCGAAGGCCUUCUACUGAACGAGCUUUCCUUUCCGAUCCAACCUUUUUAAAGCUACCGUCAAUAUUGAUGUACGCUUGAUCCAACGAAGCAUAAUAUACCUCAAAAUAGAUGACCUGAUAGGUAUCGAGGAUAUUACAACUUUGGUCUAACAUCUUUUAAAUUUAAUUGAAUACAGAGAGAAUUAAGAUAGAGUUACAAAUGUAGAUGAAAAAUGUGAUUUACAUAUACAAAAAAUUUAUGUUGUUAACAGUUGCAAAACUUGCGGUGAACAAUGAACGCAGAAUAAAAUAUAAAACUGAUAAGGCA
This is a long non-coding RNA of Cimex lectularius (bed bug), 519 nucleotides long. RefSeq lists it as uncharacterized. The record is from RefSeq and is a predicted model, not a curated record. The transcript is spliced from 3 exons. Lineage: Eukaryota; Metazoa; Arthropoda; Insecta; Hemiptera; Cimicidae.